Long non-coding RNA from Gasterosteus aculeatus aculeatus (three-spined stickleback), 1150 nucleotides. NCBI's taxonomy places the organism in Eukaryota, Metazoa, Chordata, Actinopteri, Perciformes, Gasterosteidae. The record is from Ensembl.
GCAGAGACGGGAUGAUGGUGUUGAAGGCAGAGCUGAAGUCCACAAACAGGAUCCUGGCGUAGGUUCCUGGGGAGUCCAGAUAUGCUGGAGGAUGUAGUGGAGGGCCAUGUUGACAGAUUCGUCCACAGACCUCUUGGUUCUGUAGGCGAACUGCAGUGGGUCCAGGAGGGGGUCAGUGGGGGUCUUCAGGUGGGACAGGACUAGCCGUUCAAAAGACUUCAUGACUACAUAGGGCGACGAGCCUGUAGUCAUUGAGUCCUGUGAUCUUGGGCUUCUUGGGAACAGAAGCCCAGCGAAUGUUUGAUUUACGCGCGCACAUCAAGCUGAUUUGCGCUCUCGAAUUUUGAUAGUGAAUCAGGUUGAUGCUCGCCGUAAAUCAAACAUACGCGAGCAAAUGUCCGUCUCGCGCACGAUAUUUGCUCGCUUGUGGAACGUGAACUUCUCUCUUCGAACUCAAAGGUGUUUUCUACAAGCUCGCGGUUUGUUUUUUUUGACAGUAAGGGGGUGGAGCCAGUCACCAUGGUAUUUCUACAUCUAAUUGGUUACAAACCCCGUCUUUGGAUUGGCUGGAGUUAUGCAUUCACACAACUAUAGAAGCCCAUUUUCGCACUACAGAAAUUACGGUUGUAGCUGGUUGUCAUCUACGGUCCACAACGGUUACAGGAAUCAGGAAUCAGGAAACAUUAUUGUCAAAAUAUGUCACACAUACAAGGAAUUUGACUUGGCGGUUGGUGCGUAACAGUAGACAGUAUAACAAUAGACAACAAGACAGCAGUGCACAAGUAAUAAAAUAAAAUGAAAUGCUAAUGCUAGGUUUGUAGAAUAAGGCUAUGGGAUUGUUUAGAAUAAGAUUAAAGUUAAAAAUUAAAAGUAUUUUAAAAGUUAAAUAUUUAAAGAAAUGGAGGAGCAGAGGAUGGACUCGAUGAUGGCCGUGUAAAAGUGCACCAUCAUCGUCUUUGGCAGGUUGAAUUUCUUCAGCUGCCUCAGGAAGAACAACCUCUGCUGAGCCCUCUUGGUGAUGGAGCUGCUGUUCAGCUCCCACUUGAGGUCCUGGGUGAUGAUGGAGCCCAGGAAACGGAAGGAGUCCACAAUAGUGACGGGGGAGUCACACAGGGUGAUGGGAGAGGGUGGGGCUCUGUUCCUCCGGAAA